This 250-nucleotide ribosomal RNA is filed under the name uncultured bacterium. RNAcentral describes it as "partial 16S ribosomal RNA". It matches the Rfam family "Bacterial small subunit ribosomal RNA", at positions 524 to 773 of the family's 1533-position model. The record is from RNAcentral.
UACGAAGGUGGCGAGCGUUGUUCGGAUUCACUGGGCAUAAAGGGCGCGUAGGCGGCGCCGCAAGCAGCGUGUGAAAUCCCGGGGCUCAACCCCGGGGCUGCGCGCUGGACUGCGGUGCUCGAGUGCGGGAGGGGGGUGCGGAACUCUAGGUGGAGCGGUGAAAUGCGUAGAUAUCUAGAGGAACACCGGUGGCGAAAGCGACACCCUGGCCCGCAACUGACGCUGAGGCGCGAAAGCGUGGGUAGCAAAC